This 254-nucleotide ribosomal RNA is filed under the name uncultured bacterium. RNAcentral describes it as "partial 16S ribosomal RNA". It matches the Rfam family "Bacterial small subunit ribosomal RNA", at positions 524 to 776 of the family's 1533-position model. The record is from RNAcentral.
UACGGAGGGUGCAAGCGUUAUCCGGAAUCACUGGGUUUAAAGGGUGCGUAGGCGGUCUGUUAAGUCAGUUGUGAAAUUCCCUCGCUCAACGAGUGGGACUGCGAAUGAUACUGACAGACUUGAAUCAGGUUGAGGUAGGCGGAAUGAGACAUGUAGCGGUGAAAUGCAUAGAUAUGUCUUAGAACACCGAUUGCGAAGGCAGCUUGCUGGACCUGUAUUGACGCUGAGGCACGAAAGCGUGGGGAGCAAACAGG